This is a small nuclear RNA of Pongo abelii (Sumatran orangutan), 107 nucleotides long. The record is from Ensembl. NCBI's taxonomy places the organism in Eukaryota, Metazoa, Chordata, Mammalia, Primates, Hominidae.
GUGCUCACUACAGCAGCACAUAUACUAAAAUUGGAACUAUACAGAGAAGGUUAGCAUGGCCCCUGAACAAGGAUGACAUGCAAAUUCAUGAAAUGUUCCAUAUUUUU